AUGAACCACAUCGGCACCGCCGCAGCCCAGAUCGGGAUCACAACCUCGAGCCAGGGAGCCCCGUGUCACCCUUUGAACCGCGAGAGGGAGGAGUGCCUCCACCGCCGCCGGCGCAUGCACAGGCUAAGCUCGGUGCCUACCACCGGCGGUGACAAAGGGGAGGUGACCCGUUAUAAUCAAAUUCCAGCGAACUUAAUAAUAAAUAUCAAUUUCCACGGGGAUGAGAGCCCAACAGCAAAUGGAAAUGCAGAGCCUACAGGCUACAGCCCAGGUACAACCGCAGAACCUCCUCGCGAACGGCCCAACAUCACGAGAAAAUGGAGGGAAAAACUCCAGAAGCGAGGGAAAACCCUCAUCCCUUUCCCCAAAUGCGCGAACAGAAAGAGAUGGAAACCCACGCCGACCUCGGCACCGACGGCGGCAACCCUGCUCCGACGAAGCCGGCGAUGGACGAACCACGCGCAGGCGCCGAUGCCGCUGAAGUCCUCUCCUUCACCGGCCCCGACGUGCUCCCCGUCCCCCAGCCGGUACGCUCUCCUCGCCGCCCUCCGGGUACCACUCGAAGGAUUCGCCGCCACCCGUUUUGUUGAAGAUCUGCGUGUUCUGAGCUCGCAGGGUACCGCCGUGAGCGCGAGGAAGCGGAAGGCCCCGGCGACGGCGACGGCGAAGGCUGUCAGGAAGCCUCGGAAGCCGCAGGUUGAAGUUGAAGAAGCGAUUCAGAUGCCGGUGUACUAUGGACGUAGAGAACCGUUUUCCCGCGUGCGUGGCAACGAUUUGGAAAACAAAUGUGCUCACUUAGUCCGCGAGCUACCGCUGCAGCCACAGUCCAUGUCGUUGGUGGAUCUACAGCUCUGGAUCUUCAGGCUGUUCCGGCUCCAUCCAGAAACACAAGAUCUCAAUAUCAAGGGGUUCCUCAAGCAACGCAAAACUGAUUUCUUUGACGAAGAGUCCUCCGAAACCGGACUGUUGUUUGGAGGACUACCCAAGUUCAUGUUGUAUGUGCAAUCCUCUGAGGUCAGGCACUACGGCAUUUUGCUCAAAGCCGUACAUGAUGAUUACUCUCAACUGGCCACGGUUGUGUUGCCUGGGACGGAGUGCCUGGCAAGUAGUCGCUACGCCUUCCGUGACCUUGUGGAUGACCUGACGAUGACAGCUCAGGAAUUGGUACAUUAUCUCACUGGACCCUUAGGUGAGAAGAUUAGUCCCGCUGAGACGUGGAGGGCAAGACAGUUUGCUCUGGAGAGGGAAUUCGGCACCUUUUACGAUUCACACAACUUUGCCCCGAGGUUGCUCAAGGAAAUAGCACGCAAGAACCCUGGUUGUUUUGUUGACAUCAAGGAUGCAGAGGUUGCAGAGUGUAAGGGUUUCCGAGUCCUGCACCGUAUGUUUUGGGCAUUUGGACAGUGCUUACAGGCCUUCCGUACCUGUCGCCCUGUUCUAUGCAUCAAGGGCACACCACUAUGUGGGAAAUAUCAAGGGAUGUUGUUGACUGCUGUGGCAUUGGAUGCUAAUGAUUUUUACAUUCCAGUAGCAUGUGCUAUCGUUGAGGUUGAGACCAAGGAAAGUUGGUUGUGGUUUCUUAGUAAUUUGGAGCGAGCAGUGGUGCAUCAGUCUGAUGUGUGUCUUAUACACGACUACAAAAGGGAGUUGAUUGAAGCUGUGGAAGACCUUCUGAAAUACCAAUAUCGACAGUGGCAUAAAGCAGAAAGCCGGUGGUGCAUGGAAGACCUUGCUGAAAACUUCUUUGCGUAUUUUGGCGACAAGAAGCUGCUGCUGAUGUUCAAGAAACUUUGCCAGCAGAAGAGACGCCAUAAGUUUGUCAAGCAUGACGUGGAGGAGCUUGAGGCGCAAAGCCCAUGCAACCAACAUGAUUCUGUGAAGAAUGUGAAGGAAGAUCAUGCUGAUGACAGCAACAAAAAGAUAACAAAGUUCUCUGACUGGAUCGGUCUGAAACCAAAGGAGAAGUGGUCACUGGCAUAUGAUCGAGAUGGAGCAAGGUAUGGCAUCAUGGGCAGUGUUAUAUCUGAUGUAUAUAAGAACGACCCUGUGUUGAAAGGGAUCACAUGCCUUCCGCUCAGUGCGAUAGUGGAGGUGACAUUCCUGCGCUUGGUAAAGUACUUCGAAAACACAAGUGCUGCAGCAAACAAAGCAAUUGGCAACCCAUCAAUUAACUUCCCGGAACGUGUCCAGGUUGACAUGAAUUCCAAAAUGCAGAAAUCCGAGACGCAUACAGUUACGUAUGCGUACGCCGAUGAGAAGAACGCUCGUGGUGAGGUAUUGGAUCGGAAGUUUACAGUUAAGGGAAGGAAGAGGGAGGUGACUGUUCACCUAAAGUCGGAAUAUACCCGCAGCAUGAAUAAGUCUGAAGGAUCCACAGUUGAAAAAACUGCCACAUGUUCAUGCAGCAAGCCGCAGCUACUUCACAAGCCUUGCUCUCAUGUUAUCGCCAUCUGUUGUAAGAUUGGGGUUAGCUCUGCUACAUACAUGUCCCCAUACUACAGCCUGCCCUACCUAGACAAAAAAUUGGAGUCUGGUCUUCCUGUUUUUGUAACACCGGAAUGCCUAGCAACUGUCACGGAGGAGUUAGAGCAACAAUGCAGCACUGGAAAUGGAUCAGCUGAAGACAAUCAAGGAUCGACAGCACGCUCAGAAGAACCUAAUUAA
This 2664-nucleotide ribosomal RNA is filed under the name Triticum aestivum (bread wheat). RNAcentral describes it as "partial small subunit ribosomal RNA". Lineage: Eukaryota; Viridiplantae; Streptophyta; Magnoliopsida; Poales; Poaceae. The record is from RNAcentral.